GAAAAAGGUUUGAAAGUGUCAUCCUUUAUCAGUGAUCGCCACUUAGGUGUUGCUAAAUGGAUUCGUGAAACCCAUCCUGAUGUACAGCAUUACAAUGACCUUUGGCAUGUAAAUAAGAGUUUGAAGAAGAAGUUGUUUGAUGCUAGCAAGGAAAAAGGAAACGAGGUGAUACAACUUUGGAUGAAAUCUAUCAGCCGUCAUUUAUACUGGUGUGCCCGUUCUACAAGACAGGGUUUUGGAGAAAUGGUUGUUGCCAAAUGGGUGUCAUUGAUUCGGCACAUUUCAAACAAACAUAAAGAUCACCCUGAUGAGCUUUAUACUGAAUGUGCGCAUGGUGAGGUUGAGCCACGAGCAUGGAUCCCAGUGGGUAAGUUUACGAAAUAAAAAUCUAACUUGACUCACAAGGGUAAGUACUUAGUCUUGCAAGUGUUGCAUUGUCACAAAAUGUCCUUAUGACAGUAUGACUAGGCCUACAGUACCUCGCCUGUGUGUAUUAGUUCCAAAUGCCUAUCCUAGUGAUAACAAUAUGUACAGUAGAACAAUAUAUUAAUGUACAGUAACAACCCAAAUGGUCACAGAUGUACAUGCAUAUAUGAGUUUUACUACCGGUAUUUCACUCUCUCCAAAAUUUGUAUUUAAUAAUAACGCUGUAAGGUGAAACUACUUGAGCAUUAUAGUUCAAUUUCUAUUAUUGUUGACAGGUACAUCAACUCAUGACAGAUUGUCCAUGAUUUUGUUGGACACAAAGAGAUUGGCUGAUAUCAAGAAACUUUCUUGUGAUGGUCAAACCAGUUGCCUUGAAGGAUUUCACUCAACCCUCAACCACUGGCACCCUAAGAUGCAACAUUUUUCUUGGCUAGGCACAUACUGCAGGUAUAGUUACACAAAUAGAAUAGAUAUUUAUGGCACUACAGGUAUAAUGUCCAUGGCUUUCAUGGUCAAUUGAAACAAACUUACAGUACAAACCUACAGUAUAAACUUACAGGAAGUGUGUAAGUUUGUUUCAGUUGAUGUAAGUUUAGAUCAAUUGAGGUAUACCACACUGCCUAUACAUCAUGUGCAAGAAGUUUCUUCAAGGAACUGUGACUAUACUCACUACUGUACAUACUACAUAGCCAUCUGAUGAAGGACCUUUGCUUAAAAUGUUAAAGUUCUUUCUCAUCAUACAGGAAGUUCAUCCAAGAAUCUC
Molecule: non-coding RNA, 1189 nt
Organism: Paramuricea clavata
Lineage: Eukaryota; Metazoa; Cnidaria; Anthozoa; Malacalcyonacea; Plexauridae
Source: the annotation of a GenBank genome assembly